AUCAACACUUUCUAAAUUGAAGAAAUUAAAUAUAACACGUAAUUUUUGAAAAUAAUUCCAAGGAUACGUGUUGUCACGUGAUAGACUUGAUAUGUUUGGGACCGUUCUCUUCCAUUUUUUUCCCGUUCUCUUCCAUUAUUUCUCUCUAUCUCAAAUCUCCGUCGGAGAAUCGGUUGGAUUCUGGCAGGUUAGUGCUUUUGGUAUGGCUCAUCAUGAUGAAGAUGAUAAGAAUAAGGUCGCCGGUCAUGAGCAUCACACUACUACUUAUAAGGAAACUAAGUUUUAAUUAUGAAAUGGACCUAAACUUGUUUACUAUGUUUUAGUUCCUUGUUGAUGGUUUUUCUUGUUUAUGAGACCUGUGACUAUAUAUGUAUUGGCUUCUGUAAAAAUAAAGAGUCUCUCUAGGGAGAUUGUUAUGAAUUGCUGCCAUUAUGAUAAAUACUUUGUUAUUGUA
Molecule: long non-coding RNA, 454 nt
Organism: Mercurialis annua (annual mercury)
Lineage: Eukaryota; Viridiplantae; Streptophyta; Magnoliopsida; Malpighiales; Euphorbiaceae
Exons: 2
Source: RefSeq, a predicted model, not a curated record